This 468-nucleotide ribosomal RNA is filed under the name uncultured bacterium. RNAcentral describes it as "partial 16S ribosomal RNA". It matches the Rfam family "Bacterial small subunit ribosomal RNA", at positions 28 to 507 of the family's 1533-position model. The record is from RNAcentral.
GACGAACGCUGGCGGCGUGCUUAACACAUGCAAGUCGAACGGAAAGGCCCUGCUUUUGUGGGGUGCUCGAGUGGCGAACGGGUGAGUAACACGUGAGUAACCUGCCCUUGCCUUUGGGAUAACUUCAGGAAACUGGGGCUCAUACCGGAUAGGCGCUCCUGCUGCAUGGUGGGGGUUGGAAAGUUUCGGCGGUUGGGGAUGGACUCGCGGCUUAUCAGCUUGUUGGUGGGGUAGUGGCUUACCAAGGCUUUGACGGGUAGCCGGCCUGAGAGGGUGACCGGCCACAUCGGGACUGAGAUACGGCCCAGACUCCUACGGGAGGCAGCAGUGGGGAAUAUUGCACAAUGGGCGGAAGCCUGAUGCAGCAACGCCGCGUGCGGGAUGACGGCCUUCGGGUUGUAAACCGCUUUCGCCUGUGACGAAGCGUGAGUGACGGUAAUGGGUAAAGAAGCACCGGCUAACUACGUG